AUUGAACGCUGGCGGCAGGCCUAACACAUGCAAGUCGAGCGGAUGACGGGAGCUUGCUCCUUGAUUCAGUGGCGGACGGGUGAGUAAUGCCUAGGAAUCUGCCUGGUAGUGGGGGACAACGUUUCGAAAGGAACGCUAAUACCGCAUACGUCCUACGGGAGAAAGCAGGGGACCUUCGGGCCUUGCGCUAUCAGAUGGGCUUAGGUCGGAUUAGCUAGUUGGUGGGGUAAUGGCUCACCAAGGCGACGAUCCGUAACUGGUCUGAGAGGAUGAUCAGUCACACUGGAACUGAGACACGGUCUAGACUCCUACGGGAGGCAGCAGUGGGGAAUAUUGGACAAUGGGCGAAAGCCUGAUCCAGCCAUGCCGCGUGUGUGAAGAAGGUCUUCGGAUUGUAAAGCACUUUAAGUUGGGAGGAAGGGCAGUAAGUUAAUACCUUGCUGUUUUGACGUUACCGACAGAAUAAGCACCGGCUAACUCUGUGCCAGCAGCCGCCGUAA
RNAcentral lists this ribosomal RNA (500 nucleotides) under uncultured bacterium. RNAcentral describes it as "partial 16S ribosomal RNA". It matches the Rfam family "Bacterial small subunit ribosomal RNA", at positions 30 to 523 of the family's 1533-position model. The record is from RNAcentral.